GACGAACGCUGGCGGCGUGCUUAACACAUGCAAGUCGAACGGAAAGGCCCGGCUUUUGUGGGGUGCUCGAGUGGCGAACGGGUGAGUAACACGUGAUUAACCUGCCCUGGACUUUGGGAUAACUUCAGGAAACUGGGGCUAAUACCGGAUAGGAGCUCCUGCUGCAUGGUGGGGGUUGGAAAGUUUCGGCGGUUGGGGAUGGACUCGCGGCUUAUCAGCUUGUUGGUGGGGUAGUGGCUUACCAAGGCUUUGACGGGUAGCCGGCCUGAGAGGGUGACCGGCCACAUUGGGACUGAGAUACGGCCCAGACUCCUACGGGAGGCAGCAGUGGGGAAUAUUGCACAAUGGGCGGAAGCCUGAUGCAGCAACGCCGCGUGCGGGAUGACGGCCUUCGGGUUGUAAACCGCUUUCGCCUGUGACGAAGCGUGAGUGACGGUAAUGGGUAAAGAAGCACCGGCUAACUACGUG
Molecule: ribosomal RNA, 468 nt
Filed under: uncultured bacterium
Lineage: Bacteria
Description: partial 16S ribosomal RNA
Rfam family: Bacterial small subunit ribosomal RNA
Source: RNAcentral